This 449-nucleotide ribosomal RNA is filed under the name uncultured Cellulomonas sp. Its description in RNAcentral is "bacterial SSU rRNA". It matches the Rfam family "Bacterial small subunit ribosomal RNA", at positions 934 to 1382 of the family's 1533-position model. Lineage: Bacteria; Bacillati; Actinomycetota; Actinomycetes; Micrococcales; Cellulomonadaceae. The record is from RNAcentral.
GGAGCAUGUGUUAAUUCGAAGUCAACGCGUAAGAACCUUUACCAGGUCUUGACAUCCCGAUGCUAUUCUAGAGAUGAAAGUUACUUCGGGUACAUCGGUGACAGGUGGUGCAUGGUUGUCGUCAGCUCGUGUCGUGAGAUGUUGGGUUAAGUCCCGCAACGAGCGCAACCCUCGUCCUAUGUUGCCAGCGGGUCAUGCCGGGGACUCAUGGGAGACUGCCGGGGUCAACUCGGAGGAAGGUGGGAUGACGUCAAAUCAUCAUGCCCCUUAUGUCUUGGGCUUCACGCAUGCUACAAUGGCCGGUACAAAGGGCUGCGAUACCGCGAGGUGGAGCGAAUCCCAGAAAGCCGGUCUCAGUUCGGAUUGGGGUCUGCAACUCGACCCCAUGAAGUCGGAGUCGCUAGUAAUCGCAGAUCAGCAACGCUGCGGUGAAUACGUUCCCGGGCCUU